RNAcentral lists this ribosomal RNA (499 nucleotides) under uncultured bacterium. RNAcentral describes it as "partial 16S ribosomal RNA". It matches the Rfam family "Bacterial small subunit ribosomal RNA", at positions 28 to 507 of the family's 1533-position model. The record is from RNAcentral.
GACGAACGCUGGCGGCGUGCCUAAUACAUGCAAGUCGAGCGAAGUUUUUCUGGUGCUUGCACUAGAAAAACUUAGCGGCGAACGGGUGAGUAACACGUAAAGAACCUGCCUCAUAGACUGGGACAACUAUUGGAAACGAUAGCUAAUACCGGAUAACAGUAUUUCUCGCAUGAGAGAUAUUUAAAAGUUGGCUAUGCUAACACUAUGGGAUGGCUUUGCGGUGCAUUAGCUAGUUGGUGGGGUAAAGGCCCACCAAGGCGACGAUGCAUAGCCGACCUGAGAGGGUGAUCGGCCACACUGGGACUGAGACACGGCCCAGACUCCUACGGGAGGCAGCAGUAGGGAAUCUUCCGCAAUGGGCGAAAGCCUGACGGAGCAACGCCGCGUGAGUGAAGAAGGAUUUCGGUUCGUAAAGCUCUGUUGUUAGGGAAGAAUGGAUAUGUAGUAACUAUACAUGUAAGAGACGGUACCUAACCAGAAAGCCACGGCUAACUACGUG